RNAcentral lists this long non-coding RNA (316 nucleotides) under Gossypium raimondii (Peruvian cotton). RNAcentral's name for it is "long non-coding RNA (GRAI_LNC009916)". Lineage: Eukaryota; Viridiplantae; Streptophyta; Magnoliopsida; Malvales; Malvaceae. The record is from RNAcentral.
CCACCCCCUAUGCUUCCGACUAGUAUUGCUGCUUCAUGACUUGACUUAGAGUCAGAAAUAGAAGGAUUGCUUCCCGACGGUGAUGGAGCAGAAGUAUUAGGUACUGUAUCAUUUCCAGAAGGUUUAGAAGCAGGAGCAGAGGGAGGUUGUGGAACAGGAGAGGGGGGAGGUCGUGGAACAGGAGCAUCCCUUAAAUAUGUACUAUUUGUGGACAGUUCAGAAGAUGCAGGAUGAGUUGGAGCUUUUGGUGACUUUGCAGAAGUGUUUGCCGUUUCUUGCAGCAAUUUCCUUAGCACUGCACCUUCAGAUCGGUCAC